CAGGAGGAACAGACUUACCAGUUGAGAUAUUCAGAGGCGCUGAAGAUUUGCUUCCAGAAGUUUCUCCGAGUCUGGCCUUCUUUGCCUGAGAUGCUACCUUCUUUUCAGAAAGACCUCUCUUGUAUCUGACGAAGUCUUCUUCAGAGUCCAGACAGUCAUCGAGGCUGAAAUCAGAGACGUCAACACCUUCUUCCAGCAGACGAUGAAGAUAG
Molecule: long non-coding RNA, 212 nt
Filed under: Lathyrus oleraceus (garden pea)
Lineage: Eukaryota; Viridiplantae; Streptophyta; Magnoliopsida; Fabales; Fabaceae
Description: Pisum sativum (pea) long non-coding RNA (PSAT_LNC030227)
Source: RNAcentral